Long non-coding RNA from Bos taurus (domestic cattle), 1350 nucleotides. NCBI's taxonomy places the organism in Eukaryota, Metazoa, Chordata, Mammalia, Artiodactyla, Bovidae. The record is from Ensembl.
GGUAUGUCUUGCCCUGGAAUUUAUUGGCCCUUGUGUGGUGCUUGGUUUCAGUGUCGGUAUGGAUGCAUUUGAUGAGCUCCCGUCAAUUAAUGUUCCUUGGAGUCAGGAGUUCCCUGGAGUCAGGGUUUGGACUUAAGUCUUCUGCUUCCGGUUAUCGGUCUUAUUUUUACAGUAGUUUCAAAACUUCUCCUUCUAUACAGCACCAUUGAUAAAACAUCUACAUUAAAGAUGAAAAGUUUCUCUACAGUGAGGGUCACUCAGAGAGGUUCACAGGGUUACAUGGAGAAGAGAAGAGGGAGGAGGGAGUUAGAGGUGACCCAAAUGGGAUGAGGUGAAUCAAUAGUGGAGAGAGUGGGCUAGCCAGUAGUCACUUCCUUAUGUGCACUCCACAACUGGACCACUCAGAGAUGUUCACGGGGUUAUACAGAGAAGAGAAGAAGGAGGAAGGUAACAGAGGUGGCCAGAAGGAUAAAAGGGGGGAAUGAAAAGGAGGGAGACAGAUCCAGCCAGUAAUCAGUUCCCUAAGUGUUCUCCACCGUCUGGAACACACAGAAUUUCACAGAGUUGGGUAGAGUAGAGAGGGGUUAGGGAGGAGACACAGGCGACCUGGUGGAGAAAAAGGAGAGUCCAAAGGGAGAGAAAGCAGUCAAGCCAGUAAUCUCACUCCCUAGUGAAAAAUGGGUCCUGAAGAUUGGGUCCUUAAAGGUACAAAAUUGGUAACAAAUACAUAAAAGCAAAAAUUAAAAAUCUAGAGUAGAGUUUGGAAUUUCAAAAAUAUGAUGUUAAAGAAAAGAAGAAGGAAAAGAAAGAGAGAAAAAACGAACAAACAAAAACAAACAAGGUCGCGAAAAUUAUAAAGAAAGUACAGGUACAAAAUUGAUAACUAAUACCAGAAAGCAAAAAUUAAAAAUCUAGAGUAGAGUUUGGAAUUUCAAAAAUACAAUGUUAAAGAAAAGAAGAAGGAAAAGAAAGAGAGAAAAAACGAACAAACAAAAACAAACAAGGUCGCGAAAAUUAUAAAGAAAGUACAGGUACAAAAUUGAUAACUAAUACCAGAAAGCAAAAAUUAAAAAUCUAGAGUAGAGUUUGGAAUUUCAAAAAUACAAUGUUAAAAAAAAAAAAAAGAAGAAGAAGAAGAAGAAGAAAAAUAAAGAGAGAAAACAAACAAACAAAUACGAACAAUGUCACAAAAAUUAUAAAGAAAAUACAGGUACAAAAUUGAUAUCAAAUACCAAAAAGCAUAAAUUAAAAAUCUAGAGUAAAGUUUGGAAUUUCAGAUAUACAAUGUUAUAUAAAAGAAGAAGAGAAAGAAACAGAGAAAGAAAAAAAAAAAAAAGUCAGAAAUUAUAU